RNA transcript from Capsicum annuum, 1447 nucleotides. It is a transcript of the gene named WAT1-related protein At2g39510, with no coding region annotated. Lineage: Eukaryota; Viridiplantae; Streptophyta; Magnoliopsida; Solanales; Solanaceae. The transcript has 8 exons. The record is from RefSeq and is a predicted model, not a curated record.
CACCGCAAGACAGGGUUUGAGAUGGAAGUACAGAACCAAUUAAAGAAAGAAGCGAAAACUAGUGAGCGGAGCAGUUAGUAUAUAGAAAAAGAAGCAUGUCAUGGUUAUUAAAGUUUGUGAAGGAAGGACAACCAUAUUUGGCAGCGACGUUGUUGCAGUUUGGAUAUGCAGGAUCAGCCAUAAUAGCUAAGUUUGCUUUAAAUCAUGGCAUGAGCCAUUUCACCUUUGCUGUCUACAGAAAUGCCUUUGCCACUAUUGUCUUCGCUCCUUUUGCCUUGCUCUUGGAGAGGAAAAUAAGGCCAAGAAUGACUCUAUCCAUUUUCAUGAAGAUUAUGCUGCUGGGCUUAGUGGAGCCUGUCAUCGACCAGAACUUGUAUUACACAGGAUUGAGAUACACUACUGCAACUUUUGCAACCGCAAUGUGUAAUGUGCUUCCAGCCCUCACCUUUUUGUUGGCUUGGAUAUUAAGGCUUGAGAGGGUGAACAUUAAGAGAAUAGCAAGUCAGGCCAAAAUAGUGGGAACAAUAGCGACAUUUGGCGGUGCCAUGAUUAUGACACUGAUUGGAGGACCUACAAUUGGAUUGCCUUGGACAAGACACCACGUCAAUAUUCCAUCUUCUACUUCUACUAGUAGUGUUUCUACUCAUGAGCUACAACCCAUUAAAGGUGCCCUCUUCAUCGCCGCAGGUUGCAUCUGUUGGGCCGGCUUUUACAACCUUCAGGCAAUUACAUUGAAGACAUACCCUGCGGCAUUAUCACUCACUUGUUUCAUAUGCUCGUCCGGAGCACUGCAAGGCGCUGUUCUGACCCUUGUGGCUGAAAGGGGCAAUACUUCAAUUUGGGCCAUCCAGUGGAAUACUAAAUUGUUAUCUUACGUUUAUAGUGGAAUGGUCACUUCUGGAGUCGGCUAUUAUGUCUCUGGAUUGAUAAUGAAGGAAAAAGGACCGGUUUUUGUAACUGCAUUUAAUCCUUUAAAUAUGAUUAUCGUCGCAAUUUUGGGUUCAUUCAUUUUAUCCGAGCAGCUAAACUUGGGAAGGAAGGAUAUAAAUCAUAUCAACUUUCUCUGUUAUUGUAAACGAAAAGGAACAAGUCUACAUCCAUUCGCCCCUUACUUCAAAUGGUAACACAUUUCAAGAAGAUAAGGAGAAAAAAAUUGAUAAUAAUUGGAACUUUGAAGAGACAAAGAAGACCGAAAGGAAGAAAAUGAAAGAUAAGUGCAGAGUAGAGUUUUCAAUUUUGUUGGUAUAGUUGGCAAGCUUAAAUUUCAAAAAUUCUGUUUGAUAUUCUUCUUCUUCUUCUUUAUUUUAAAUAUUAUUUUAUUUCACAACUUUUCUAUAGUUAAUUCAAUUGUAUGCAAUUUAUGACUGUCUGAUUUUAUCUCAGACAAUCGUAAAAUUGGAACAUGACAUUCCAUAAUGAAAAGUUUAGAAAAAAUAGUUUAAUAUCA